UACGUAGGGUCCGAGCGUUGUCCGGAAUUACUGGGCGUAAAGAGCUCGUAGGUGGUUUGUCACGUUGUUCGUGAAAACCCACAGCUCAACUGUGGGCGUGCGAGCGAUACGGGCAGACUAGAGUACUGCAGGGGAGACUGGAAUUCCUGGUGUAGCGGUGGAAUGCGCAGAUAUCAGGAGGAACAUCAGUGGCGAAGGCGACUGCCUGGCCCAACACUGACGCUGAGGUGCGAAAGCGUGGGUAGCAAACAGG
Molecule: ribosomal RNA, 253 nt
Filed under: uncultured bacterium
Lineage: Bacteria
Description: partial 16S ribosomal RNA
Rfam family: Bacterial small subunit ribosomal RNA
Source: RNAcentral